GCCGGCAGCUAGCUCACUGCAAUCUCACAUGGUCGCCUACUGAAGCUAAGCAGAACUGCACGCAGUCAGUACCUGAAUGGGAGACCCCAUGGGAAAGCUAGGUUGUUGCUGGAA
RNAcentral lists this ribosomal RNA (114 nucleotides) under Danio rerio (zebrafish). The record is from RNAcentral. Lineage: Eukaryota; Metazoa; Chordata; Actinopteri; Cypriniformes; Danionidae.